AUUUCCUUUAUGAGUUAUCAUAUUGGGCUAUUGAUUACAAUUAUUGUUGAAACUUGGGUGUUAGUAGGGCUUGACGUCGCACGAAGGUUUUCCAACCAAGGAAAAACAAACCUAACCAAACCUGACCUAACCCUACCUACAACCUACAACCUACAAACCUACAGUGUCUAAUCUUGGUUGGAAAUCCUUUGUGUGACAUCUGCUCAACUAAUGUCGAAACUUGAUUCGCUUCCAACCGAUGAGAGGUGCUGUAGGUUUUUAGAUUGUGGGGUAGGUUUGUAUGUUUUUAUGUUGUUGGUGGUAGGUUUUUAGGUUGUACGUAAUAGGUUUACUCAGGUUGGGUUCCCAUUGUCAUUUAAGGAAGGCAGAGAGGAAGUGAGUGGGAGGAACAGGAACCCUGAAAUCUGAAUCCUAGAUGCACCAGCCGAAGUUCUUGGCUGGUGAAGUUGUGAAGGCCCAACACAUGCUGCUGGCAGCAGUAUGGAUGCUGCUUCAACUCGACAUAGACUUGGGGAGCAAGACUGGACGCCGACCAGCAUAACAUACAAUAUGCUAUCCACAUUUAUUUUUCAGCAUGCCAUCGCUAUUAAAACGAUUGAUGUGAUUUGAUCUUAUGCAAGCCUCUUUCACGACUUGACCUCUUCUUUGGUUUCAGUCUUCUUUGCUGGCUGUGCACUUUCUCUGGAAUGUCUUGUUACCUUCUUCGUCCACAUAUGCCAUCCUCAUUUCUUUUUCAGCAUGCCAUCGCUAUUAAAACAAUUGAUGUGAUUUGAUCUUAUGCAAGCCUCUUUCACGACUUGACCUCUUCUUCGAUUUCAGUCUUCUUUGCUGGCUGUUCACUUUUGCUGGAAUGUCUUGUUACCUUCUUCGUACUUGCACAUACAAUUUAUAUCAAUGGCAGUGUGCAUGGAUCUUCUUUCUCAGUAAUGUAUGCUGUCUUACCCCAGAAAUACCAGUGUUUGAACAGUGAGAAGAGUGUGGUGCACAAUGUCAAGCUCAUAGCAUGAAUACCUUUCGGGGUUUGCCUUAUGCUUUAUUGUCACCAUCCGGAUUGAGAAUGUCAUGCACACUUCUGCAGCUUUUCUGUUGAUGGACAGCACUUCCCAGUUCAGCUUCAAAUCACUAUUGAGGGCCAGCAAUAUGUGCUAUGUUUCUUCUGCACGUUCCUAUGCUCCUGGGUCCUGACGUACUCUUCAUACUCAUAUUUCCAGUUUUCUGGGUGUUGCUUGUCAUUUGUGCAUUCUGUUUUUUGUGAUUGCCGUCUGCUUAUCCAGUUGUACAGUAAAUAUUGCCAUCUACCUACUUCAGGUUUGAUUGCUCAAAGCUAAAGUCCAUCCAUCUCAUGAGCUUUACGUAUAACGUACUCUUGCCGGUUCGUCAGAGAAUGCGUUAUGCAAUGAAUUUUCAAAUUUGCUGGACUUGUCAGAAAUUAUAAACGCAAUUGUCUGCAAAUUUUUCUGUUGGAUUUGAUAUUUGGGUUUGUCUUUCCUGAUGUUCUGACAGGCGUUAUUCGGAAAGCUGAGAGGCGCUGCAGCGGGAGGGAUCCGUGCGCAGAAGUGGGCCGAGGCGUUGCAGCUGGCAGCGUCGCUGGGCCUGGUACCGCUUGCAUGCGAUCAGCGGCACCUGCGCAAGACCUUAAUAAAAAAUCAGCUGGCUUCUAGUCGAGGUCGCCGUGACCGCCAGAGAAAAACUGGCAAUGGCGUUCAAGAACCGCUCGACGAGUUGGACGAGCUCGUCCUUAGCAUGGACGAUGGCUCAUACGAUUAUAUCGUCCCGGGAGCCCAAAACUCCCUAGACGCCAGCCAGAGUUCGGCGGAGGAGUUGUGGGCGGCCGCGGCUGUGGUCCCGUCUGUCGCCACCAGCUCUACCCCGGCUGCCGCCAUCGCUUCCACGCCUGUCGCGACCUCUGCCCCGCCUACCGCCGGCGCCUCCCGGCCUGCUACCGGCGCUUCCGCGCCUACCGCCGGCGCCUCCCGGCCUGCCGCCGGCGCU
Molecule: long non-coding RNA, 1992 nt
Organism: Amphibalanus amphitrite
Lineage: Eukaryota; Metazoa; Arthropoda; Thecostraca; Balanomorpha; Balanidae
Exons: 4
Source: RefSeq, a predicted model, not a curated record